GAAGCACGCCAGACCGUCGCUGGUGCAAUCUCCGAAAGGAGGCACUGGAGGAACGUCCGGACUGCACAGGACAGCGUAGGAGGUAACACCUCUCCACCGUGAGGUGAGGAUCAGAGCAACAGAGACGAGCCGAUUGAGUUCGGGUGAAACGGGCAAUCUCUACGCGCAGCAAUACCAAGUAGGCCUUCCUGAAGGAGCGCGGUUCGCCGUAUUCUUUCUCCCUGUGGUUCCGCGGGGUGAGUUGGCGGGUAGGUAGCACCGAGCCGGGUGGGCAACCCCCGGCCCAGAGUAAUGGCGGUCACGCAGCGGGCAACCGCUGUGCACAGAAUCCGGCUUAUCGGCGGGCUUCACAC
Limnohabitans sp. 63ED37-2 is the source of this 353-nucleotide non-coding RNA. It matches the Rfam family "Bacterial RNase P class A". From Rfam's summary of the family: Ribonuclease P (RNase P) is a ubiquitous endoribonuclease, found in archaea, bacteria and eukarya as well as chloroplasts and mitochondria. NCBI's taxonomy places the organism in Bacteria, Pseudomonadati, Pseudomonadota, Betaproteobacteria, Burkholderiales, Comamonadaceae. The record is from Rfam.